Sapajus apella (tufted capuchin) is the source of this 232-nucleotide long non-coding RNA. RefSeq lists it as uncharacterized. Lineage: Eukaryota; Metazoa; Chordata; Mammalia; Primates; Cebidae. The transcript has 3 exons. The record is from RefSeq and is a predicted model, not a curated record.
GUUGCAGUGAGCUGAGAUCACACCACUGCACUCCAGCCUGGGUGACAGAGUAAUAUCGCAUACUCUGUCUUAAAAAAAAAAUUAGAAAUCACCUAAUCUAUUUAUGUACUCCCAAAUCUGAGAAAGGGUUUCUAGUGGUAUGAAGAAAUGGGAAUUUUGUGAGGGCAGUAAUUUCAUUAUAAAUUAACAGGCCAAGGCUGGGCAUGGUGGCUCACACCUACAAUCCCAGCAC